AUGAACGCUGGCGGCGUGCUUAACACAUGCAAGUCGAACGGAAAGGCUCCUGCUUGCAGGGGUACUCGAGUGGCGAACGGGUGAGUAACACGUGGGUGAUCUGCCCUGCACUUCGGGAUAAGCCUGGGAAACUGGGUCUAAUACCGGAUAGGACGAUGGUUUGGAUGCCAUUGUGGAAAGUUUUUCGGUGUGGGAUGAGCUCGCGGCCUAUCAGCUUGUUGGUGGGGUAAUGGCCUACCAAGGCGUCGACGGGUAGCCGGCCUGAGAGGGUGUACGGCCACAUUGGGACUGAGAUACGGCCCAGACUCCUACGGGAGGCAGCAGUGGGGAAUAUUGCACAAUGGGCGCAAGCCUGAUGCAGCGACGCCGCGUGGGGGAUGACGGCCUUCGGGUUGUAAACUCCUUUCGCUAGGAACGAAGCGCAAGUGACGGUACCUGGAGAAGAAGCACCGGCUAACUACGUG
RNAcentral lists this ribosomal RNA (464 nucleotides) under uncultured bacterium. Its description in RNAcentral is "partial 16S ribosomal RNA". It matches the Rfam family "Bacterial small subunit ribosomal RNA", at positions 29 to 507 of the family's 1533-position model. The record is from RNAcentral.